RNAcentral lists this long non-coding RNA (237 nucleotides) under Brassica napus (rape). RNAcentral describes it as "long non-coding RNA (BNAP_LNC010039)". Lineage: Eukaryota; Viridiplantae; Streptophyta; Magnoliopsida; Brassicales; Brassicaceae. The record is from RNAcentral.
AGUGAGAUCUGUACACCUUGAGAGAGGGAAGAUCUUGAACUCCCUAGGUUUCUUUACUCUAUUCUGUUUAUGUAUCUAUUGCAAUAUUAUUCAGACCAUCAUAACCAUGUCUUUUAUGAAUAUGUCUUAGUAAUUUCACUGUUAGAUUUAGGUUUCUCAUAAGGUUGAUAUAUGUAUUGCUAGCUUAAAUUGUUGUUAGGGUGAUUUAAUUAGUUCUUCAUCUAGUUGAUCUAACUG